Molecule: ribosomal RNA, 557 nt
Filed under: Sphingomonas sp. BvORR097
Lineage: Bacteria; Pseudomonadati; Pseudomonadota; Alphaproteobacteria; Sphingomonadales; Sphingomonadaceae
Description: bacterial SSU rRNA
Rfam family: Bacterial small subunit ribosomal RNA
Source: RNAcentral
ACGGGUGCGUAACGCGUGGGAAUCUGCCCUUGGGUUCGGAAUAACAGUGAGAAAUUACUGCUAAUACCGGAUGAUGUCGAAAGACCAAAGAUUUAUCGCCCGAGGAUGAGCCCGCGUAGGAUUAGCUAGUUGGUGAGGUAAGAGCUCACCAAGGCGACGAUCCUUAGCUGGUCUGAGAGGAUGAUCAGCCACACUGGGACUGAGACACGGCCCAGACUCCUACGGGAGGCAGCAAUGGGGAAUAUUGGACAAUGGGCGAAAGCCUGAUCCAUCAAUGCCGCGUGAGUGAUGAAGGCCUUAGGGUUGUAAAGCUCUUUUACCCGGGAUGAUAAUGACAGUACCGGGAGAAUAAGCCCCGGCUAACUCCGUGCCAGCAGCCGCGGUAAUACGGAGGGGGCUAGCGUUAUUCGGAAUUACUGGGCGUAAAGCGCACGUAGGCGGCUUUGUAAGUCAGAGGUGAAAGCCUGGAGCUCAACUCCAGAACUGCCUUUGAGACUGCAUCGCUUGAAUCCAGGAGAGGUGAGUGGAAUUCCGAGUGUAGAGGUGAAAUUCGUAGA